GAUGAACGCUGGCGGCGUGCCUAAUACAUGCAAGUCGAGCGAACAGACGAGGAGCUUGCUCCUCUGACGUUAGCGGCGGACGGGUGAGUAACACGUGGAUAGCCUACCUAUAAGACUGGGAUAACUUCGGGAAACCGGAGCUAAUACCGGAUAAUAUAUUGAACCGCAUGGUUCAAUAGUGAAAGACGGUUUUGCUGUCACUUAUAGAUGGAUCCGCGCCGCAUUAGCUAGUUGGUAAGGUAACGGCUUACCAAGGCAACGAUGCGUAGCCGACCUGAGAGGGUGAUCGGCCACACUGGAACUGGGAAGCAGACCCGGCUCCUACGGGAAGGCGGAGUAGGGAAUCUUCCGCAAUGGGGGGAAGCCUUACGGAACAACCGCGAGUUAGUGAUGGAGGUCCUCCGAUCGUAAAAACCUGUUAUUAGGGAAGAACAAAUUUGUAAGUAACUAAUGCCGGCUUGACGGUACCUAAUCAAGAAGCCACGGCUAACUACGUG
RNAcentral lists this ribosomal RNA (497 nucleotides) under uncultured bacterium. Its description in RNAcentral is "partial 16S ribosomal RNA". It matches the Rfam family "Bacterial small subunit ribosomal RNA", at positions 28 to 507 of the family's 1533-position model. The record is from RNAcentral.